UACGGAGGGUGCAAGCGUUAUCCGGAUUUACUGGGUUUAAAGGGUGCGUAGGUGGGUCUGUAAGUCAGUGGUGAAAUCUUCAAGCUUAACUUGGAAACUGCCAUUGAUACUAUCAAUCUUGAAUAUCGUUGAGGUAAGCGGAAUAUGUCAUGUAGCGGUGAAAUGCUUAGAUAUGACAUAGAACACCGAUAGCGGAGGCAGCUUACUAAGCGAUCAUUGACACUGAGGCACGAAAGCGUGGGGAGCAAACAGG
This 253-nucleotide ribosomal RNA is filed under the name uncultured bacterium. RNAcentral's name for it is "partial 16S ribosomal RNA". It matches the Rfam family "Bacterial small subunit ribosomal RNA", at positions 524 to 776 of the family's 1533-position model. The record is from RNAcentral.